GUAAGCAGAUAAACAUCACAUUUUCAUUUUUGGGGAACUAUCCCUUUAAAAUAUUUUCUCUUCAUUUGUAUUCUCAAAUGAAAGAAAACAAAACAUUACUUCUAAUACUACUACUACAAAAAUGUAAACAAUUUGAACUACUACACUGAUGUGAAGCUGUAUGAUUUUUAACCUUCCAUUUCUGUUCUCCUGCAGUGCAUGAGAUCUGCAUCAUCUCCAGGUAGAGCACACCCAAAGCCUCACUGCACCAAAGGGAAAACAUCUAGGAGGAUCUUGCCACGUCUGUCAAUUAGGUAUCUCUGCAGAACAAAAAGGCUGUUUCCCAAUCAGUAGGCAUUUGUCAACCACUUUGCCUGAAUUCCUUAAAUCAUAAAGGCCCACCCCAGUGGAUUAAAGCAAGUUGGGUAAAGUGGUUGAAAACCACCCGUUGUGGAUUUUACCAAUGCACAAAUGAUUGGGGAACACCCGUUAGCAUUCUGCAGAGAUACCUACUUGCACAUCUCAGACACGGGUCCAGGAUGAGAACCUGGUUGGCUUGGACUUGUCACCCUCACAUCCUGAAUCUUUCUGGAUCACCUCACAUUGUCACAGGUAAUAUCAAAGUAGCCGGUACUAACACUAACAUGCACUCCGCAGUUGGACAUAAUUAAGAGGUAACAUUUAAAUGUAUUUGUAUAUAAAAACAUCAGAUUAAUGUCUUGAAUGCAAAUUUAUUUUAAAACAGAGAAACAAAAACACAUAUAUUAAACAAGCAGACAUAACAAUAAAUUAAAACAUCAAACUGACAGUUGAAAUGAGUUAUAUAAAUUGAACACACUAUUUUACUACUAUUAGACUACUAUUUACUACUGUUACUAGACUAUUUUGAAAUGAGUUUUUUAAAUUGAACACUAUUUUACUAUUAAACUACUAUUUACUACUGUUACUGGACUAUUUUGAAAAUGAAUAAUAUAUAAAUUGAACACACUAUUUUACUAUUGCACUACUAUUUACUUCCUUUUAGCUCUUCUCUGAAAAUAAAAUUAGCUCUCUGAUUCUGCAAACUCCACAUCCAGCACACGGUUGUGUGUAUGCUGGAUUUUUACUUUGGUUGGGAGUUUGGCGAUUAAAUCCACCACCCUCCCAUUGUACAGUUUUUCUGGAAUGCUGAAUUCCUCAAAAUUGCUGCAGAGGAGAGUGAGGGUUCCAUUUUCUUCGGAGACUCCAAUGAUGUCCAUGUACUCCGUCACUACUUUCCUCUUAGCAGUCUGCAUCAUAAAGAAAAUACAAUUUAUAAUCUGGCUUGACAUCUUGUUACAGAGAUUUCACUCAAAUAAAAAUUGUGAUUUACCCACUUUCAUCAAUAUUGCUAUAGCAGAAUUAAGGAAACUUUCGUUGGGAAUGUGUCAACUUGGAAUGUGUAUGCCUUGAAUGUGAUGAAAGUUUAACUUUUGAAAAAACGCAUAUCAACAUCUUGCAUUUUCUCACAUUUUUAGAUGCACAGACAUGUUGUUUGAACCGGCCCUAAGUUGUUUCUACUGGCUGGCAAGUCUAUGCAGUCAUCGCACCAGCAGUGCGAACUGUUAAUACCCUUUUUGAAUCGAUUGUGGUGCUGUUAAGUUAAUUUUAAGCUGAAUAAGGCUAAUGUAACAUAGCUAAUGUGUUUUGUAUUAUAUUUGUGUACCUUCACAGCUGUGUGGGAUAAGGAAUUCAAUUUUCCUCUUCCAUUCCCCAAAAGAAAAAUUUUGAGGUGUGUGAGCUCCACCUCAUCUUUGAGGUAGAGCUCACACAGAGCCUCAUCUCUCCAGAGAGAAACUUCAGCAGCUUUUGGCCACAUCUUAAGGUGAGGUCCAGGAUGGGGACAUGGCUGCCUUGCACAUAGGUCAUCCUCACUGGUUGUAUCUGCAAAAUGACAGCUUGGCAGUUAUACUGUUUCAGAAGGAAGUCAUGUUGGUUUGGAAUGACAUGAGGGUGAGUACAUGACAGAAUUUUCGUCUUAAUUUUCAUACCUUUAGCUACAGAGAGAAAUGCGUCCUGAUAACCAGAACAACUAUAAUAACUGUUGACUUCUAGAUAUUCUGUGAUAAUGAAAUAACUCACUUUUUCGAUUUCCCCUUUAAGACUCAAAUAGUCUCCCCUGGUGAAUAGGUCGUCUUCUUCACCCGUGACCAUCACAGAUGGUGGAUAAAUUGCCUCCCUUGCAACCUUUUCCGCCAUUUCGUCCAGGUUAAGUGGUGCUGUCCGAAAUUUAUUUGAUGUCCGGCCAAAAUAAACAUUUUUGCGGCCAUAGCGUGUGCCUAAUGUUACAUUUUUAAGGAUGUAUGUGCAUCCUUCAACCAAUUCUGGCUCUUCGCCAUUUUUUGAUACUAGGUAUGAAUUUGUGCCAUCACUUACGGCACUCUGACUUUUUAUUUGAUAGUUUUCAACUUUAAUAUCUCCGUUGCUGUUUGUGAAGUUUACAGCCUUUCUGGUAGUCCUAUUGGCCACGCAUUUGCACAGGAUUGGGGCCGGGCGGCUAUAUGGGCUUUGUGUUGCCAUCCUGAGGUGCCGUCUCUGGUUGACUUGGGUCGGAGCUGUGGGUGGAGUCCUGCGCACUGAAGUGGACGUGGCUGUGCGCAGCUUUUUAACAGACUGGCUGCGCGCAUUUCCCGCGCGCGCGCUCUCUCUCUCUCUCUCUCUCUCUCUCUCUCUCUCUCUCAUUUUUUGUAAUAUUUUUAACUUGUAAUUAAUUUAAUUUAUUGAAAUGAAUGUUUUUAAUUUGUAAUGAAUUGUAUUUAUUAAUGUUUUUUUUUUUACUUUUAAUGAAUUGUAUUUAUUAUAACAAAUGGUUUUUAACUUGUAAUGAAUUUUAUUUAUUGUAAUGAGUUUUUUUAACUUGAAAUGAGUUAUUUAUUGUAAUGAAUAUUUUUAAACUUGUAAUGAAUUGUAUUUAUUAUAACAAAUGGUUUUUAACUUGUAAUGAAUUUUAUUUAUUGUAAUGAGUUUUUUUAACUUGAAAUGAGUUAUUUAUUGUAAUGAAUAUUUUUAAACUUGUAAUGAAUUGUAUUUAUUAUAUAUUUUUUAACUUAAGUAUUAUAACGAAUGGUUUUUAACUUGUAAUGACUUAUUUAUUGUAGUAUUUUAACUUGUAAUGAAUUUACAGAUGAACUAUAUGUAGGCGACGAAGUGAUUCUGGGAAAGGGGAAAUUUCACUCCUCUACAUACACAUCUGUGAAGAUCCCUGAGGGCCAGGUUGAGGAUAUAGAGGUGGACAUUAUCGGGGUCUCCGAGAUUAAUGACACCUGCCACUUCCUCAGCAGCGACUCAGUUGUGUACAUUGUUCCUGAGGCAAUCUUCUCUGGAAAUCCAGAUGUGCUCAUUGACAAGCUGCCAAUGAAACUUCAGUUAAAACACAUUAACCGCAGGGUUAUUGAAAUAAGAUCAGAAAAAAGCAUAUAGAUUAGUCAUCCCUUUUUCUUUGUUUUUCCCCCCACUUUCAUAUUUGAUGUUAAUCUCAGCCAUUUGUUUUAUUUGUUUAGUGUGUAUAUAGUUGUAUAGUUGUAUAUAGUUCUUUCCAAACAAUAAGACCUCGUCAAUAUAUAGGUUAGUUAGCUCACCUUUUUCUUUUCUUUUUUUCUUUUCUCGUUUUUAAUAUUUGAUAUUUAGAUUUAGAUUGUUCUUGUUUAGUUUGUAUAUAGUAUAUUGUAUAUUGGAAAGUACAUUUUUCAAAGAUUUUAUUUAUUAUUUUGUGAGCAUUAUUUAGUUUAUCACAUUAAAAAUUGUGGGAAAAGAUUGUGGAAGGGUAAAGAGACCCAAUGAGUAAUAUUUCCCAGUUGUAAAAUUGUCUUGUUUUAUUCGUCUUAUAUAUUAUUUUAAACAUUGCCCAUGAAAAAUCUGGGAAUGUUUAUAUCCACUGUAGUCCUCAAUGGUACGGCAUGGUUAUCCACCACUAAGUCCAUGUUUUAUAUGUCCUUCUGAGUGCGUUUAUCACAACCCUGGUACAUACAGACGUGGACAAAAUUGUUGGUACCCUUGAUAAAUACAAACAAAAAACCUGUAAAAAAAAAUCUCCAUUGUUAAUCUUUUAGGACUUUAUUUAAAAAAAAAAAAAAAAAGUCAAAUUCUAACCUUUCAUUGAAGUGUAAGAAUUUAAAAUGAAUCUUAUUAUGAAAUAAAUAUUUUUCUCUGAUACACGUUGGCCACAAUUAUUGCUACCCUUUUAUUCAAUACUUUUUGCAACCCCAAGUCCUCCCCAAGAUAACAGCUCUGAGUCGUCUUCUAUAAUGCCUGAUGAGUUUGGAGAACACCUGACAAGAGAUCAGAGACCACUCCUUCAUACAGAAUCUCUUAAUUUUGUCACAAAAUAGAUGUUUAAAAAAAAGAAAAAAAAAAGAAAGAAAUAUUAAAAAUAUACAAAGAUUUAAAAAUAACUACAUUAAUUAUCUAAGUUAAUUUCACUAAAGAAAAAAAAAAAGUUGAUAAAUCAUGAAAAUAUAUAUAUAUAUAUAUAUUUUACUUUCAGGUCAAAUUGGACACAUUCAUAUAGUUUGAGCUUAAUGAUACAGUAUUUUGUUCUGUUUAUAGCAAAAAAUUUUAAAAUGUAAAAGAACAACUAUAAAAAGAGAUAAAAAGAGAGAGGCUACUGGCGGAUAGUGUUGUUGUUGAUGAAUGAUGUUUCAUGCUUAGUUCUGGGCUUCUUUUUAAAAACAUUUGAAACCAUGAAAGCCUGCUUUGUUUUUGGUCUCAAAACCCACUAGCUUUUGCAUAUCCAAAAGCUAUUUUUAAGUUUUUUUUUUCUCUUUAUGUAGCCUAAUUUGAGUGCUUAAGUCCAUUAAUGAGAGUGGAAUGCUUAAUCUAAAUUUGUAUAUCAAAAUGAACAGUUUAAAUCGUUCUGUUUACUUAAUUCGCUCACCCCAUUAAAAGUACAUAAAAAAAAAAAAAAAAUCAUUUUAUUGAACACUGAAAAACGUGAAAAUGCAUUCAGUAGAAUACAUUUGGAAUAGACAAUAAUUUCUCAUUCUUUUAUUUUAAUCUUCAAUGAAAGUUAAACAAAUAGGCUACUGUACCCAUCUCUGAAUAUUUAAAUAUUAUAUCUAAAUGGUCUACUUAACUAAUGAAAAUCAGAAACAUGACAGUUAAAUACAAUAAUAAUACAGCAUGUUUUAUUAUCCGAAGACCAGGGGACAACAUUCCCAGAUAGCAGACCAACCCUGAAUCAACGUUAAUGCAUUAACCAAAUUAUCAUUGAAUCAACGUUGAUCGACGUUGAAUUUUAAAUUGAUUUUUCAUCAGGUUUGCACCCUGAAAUAAUGUUAUUUCAAUGAUGAAAAAUAGAUCAAGAUGGUUGUAAAAUCAAUGUUUUUUCAACCUUAAUUAAAUCACCUAUUUAACAUUGAAUUAACGUGGAAACAAUAUCAAAUCAAUCUUGGUUUAUGUACAUGCAACCCACACCUGAGGUGUAAAUUUUAUGUUGACUCUACAACUGGACCAAUGCGCUCAGAAGACUAGGUUUGUCCACUGAGAGAGAUGGUGCAACAAGAGUGAACAAAUUCAGACGUUCAAGGUUUUCGGUAAGAGCAAGUUUUGACUGUAUUGAACACAAUAAUUGAUUUCAUUUAAAUGCAGUGACAUAGGAAUACUCACGUUACACUAAUUUGUACCCUUUCCUCCUCCUUCCCAGGAAUUUGAUAGUUGUUUCACUUAUUACAAUUAAUUUUCAGCUCAGAAUUCAAUUAGGGGAAACGUAAUUUGUUUGUGUAUAAAUUGAGACUAAAAAUAAACUUUCACUGCCCUUUC
This is a long non-coding RNA of Ctenopharyngodon idella (grass carp), 5754 nucleotides long. RefSeq lists it as uncharacterized. The transcript has 5 exons. Lineage: Eukaryota; Metazoa; Chordata; Actinopteri; Cypriniformes; Xenocyprididae. The record is from RefSeq and is a predicted model, not a curated record.